CACGUAGGGGGCGAGCGUUGUCCGGAAUUAUUGGGCGUAAAGAGCUCGUAGGCGGUUUGUCACGUCUGCUGUGAAAUCCCGAGGCUCAACCUCGGGCCUGCAGUGGGUACGGGCAGACUGGAGUGCGGUAGGGGAGAAUGGAAUUCCUGGUGUAGCGGUGGAAUGCGCAGAUACCAGGAGGAACACCGAUGGCGAAGGCAGUUCUCUGGGCCGUAACUGACGCUGAGGAGCGAAAGCGUGGGGAGCGAACAGG
This 253-nucleotide ribosomal RNA is filed under the name uncultured bacterium. Its description in RNAcentral is "partial 16S ribosomal RNA". It matches the Rfam family "Bacterial small subunit ribosomal RNA", at positions 524 to 776 of the family's 1533-position model. The record is from RNAcentral.